RNAcentral lists this ribosomal RNA (490 nucleotides) under uncultured bacterium. Its description in RNAcentral is "partial 16S ribosomal RNA". It matches the Rfam family "Bacterial small subunit ribosomal RNA", at positions 28 to 507 of the family's 1533-position model. The record is from RNAcentral.
GAUGAACGCUAGCUACAGGCUUAACACAUGCAAGUCGCGGGGCAGCAUGGGGGUUGCUUGCAAUCCCCGAUGGCGACCGGCGCACGGGUGAGUAACGCGUAUCCAACCUGCCCUUCACCACGGGAUAACCCGGCGAAAGUCGGACUAAUACCGUAUGUUGUCCAUUGACGGCAUCCGAUUUGGACGAAAGGUUUGGCGGUGAAGGAUGGGGAUGCGUCCGAUUAGCUGGACGGCGGGGUGACGGCCCACCGUGGCGACGAUCGGUAGGGGUUCUGAGAGGAAGGUCCCCCACACUGGAACUGAGACACGGUCCAGACUCCUACGGGAGGCAGCAGUGAGGAAUAUUGGUCAAUGGGCGUAAGCCUGAACCAGCCAAGUAGCGUGCAGGAGGACGGCCCUAUGGGUGGUAAACUGCUUUUAGGCGGGGAUAAGGUGGCCCACGUGUGGGUUUUUGCAGGUACCGCAUGAAUAAGGACCGGCUAAUUCCGUG